This 261-nucleotide ribosomal RNA is filed under the name uncultured bacterium. RNAcentral describes it as "partial 16S ribosomal RNA". It matches the Rfam family "Bacterial small subunit ribosomal RNA", at positions 793 to 1055 of the family's 1533-position model. The record is from RNAcentral.
GUCCACGCCGUAAACGUUGGGCACUAGGUGUGGGACUCUAUCGACGGGUUCCGUGCCGUAGCUAACGCAUUAAGUGCCCCGCCUGGGGAGUACGGCCGCAAGGCUAAAACUCAAAGGAAUUGACGGGGCCCGCACAAGCGGCGGAGCGUGUGGCUUAAUUCGAUGCAACGCGAAGAACCUUACCUAGGCUUGACAUGUACGGUAAAGCGGGUGAAAGCCCGUGUCCUUCGGGCCGGUACACAGGUGGUGCAUGGCUGUCGU